GGAGUGUGUAACAACUCACCU
RNAcentral lists this unclassified non-coding RNA (21 nucleotides) under Dictyostelium discoideum. The record is from RNAcentral. Lineage: Eukaryota; Evosea; Eumycetozoa; Dictyosteliales; Dictyosteliaceae.